This 460-nucleotide ribosomal RNA is filed under the name uncultured bacterium. RNAcentral describes it as "partial 16S ribosomal RNA". It matches the Rfam family "Bacterial small subunit ribosomal RNA", at positions 338 to 795 of the family's 1533-position model. The record is from RNAcentral.
CCUACGGGAGGCAGCAGUGAGGAAUAUUGGUCAAUGGACGAGAGUCUGAACCAGCCAAGUAGCGUGAAGGAUGACUGCCCUACGGGUUGUAAACUUCUUUUAUAUGGGAAUAAAAUGUUCCACGUGUGCGUUUUUGUAUGUACUUUAUGAAUAAGGAUCGGCUAACUCCGUGCCAGCAGCCGCGGUAAUACGGGGGAUCCGAGCGUUAUCCGGAUUUAUUGGGUUUAAAGGGAGCGUAGGUGGUUUGGUAAGUCAGUUGUGAAAGUUUGCGGCUCAACCGUAAAAUUGCAGUUGAUACUGGCAGUCUUGAGUACAGUAGAGGUGGGCGGAUUUCGUGGUGUAGCGGUGAAAUGCUUAGAUAUCACGAAGAACUCCGAUUGCGAAGGCAGCUCACUAGACUGCAACUGACACUGAGGCUCGAAAGUGUGGGUAUCAAACAGGAUUAGAUACCCUAGUAGUC